RNAcentral lists this unclassified non-coding RNA (404 nucleotides) under soil metagenome. RNAcentral's name for it is "partial contains 5.8S ribosomal RNA, internal transcribed spacer 2, and large subunit ribosomal RNA". The stretch from base 1 to 121 matches the Rfam family "5.8S ribosomal RNA", at positions 35 to 154 of the family's 154-position model. The record is from RNAcentral.
GAUGAAGAACUUAGCGAAAUGCGAUAAGUAAUGUGAAUUGCAGAAUUCAGUGAAUCAUCGAAUCUUUGAACGCACCUUGCGCCCUUUGGCUAUUCCGAAGGGCAUGCCUGUUUGAGUAUCAUGAACACCUCAACCCUCAUGGUUUGCCAUGACGGGCUUGGACUUUGGGGGUCUUGCUGGAUUGUAGUCAGCUCCCCUUAAACAAAUCAGCUUGCCAGUGUUUGGUGGCAUCACAGGUGUGAUAACUAUCUACGCUUGUGGUUUUACAUCAGAUAACCUUCAGUGAUGGAGGUUCACUGGAGCUCAUAAAGGUGUCUCUCCUCUGUGAGGACAGCUCUUUGAAUGUUUGAUCUCAAAUCAGGCAGGACUACCCGCUGAACUUAAGCAUAUCAAUAAGCGGAGGA